RNAcentral lists this ribosomal RNA (682 nucleotides) under uncultured Bacteroides sp. Its description in RNAcentral is "bacterial SSU rRNA". It matches the Rfam family "Bacterial small subunit ribosomal RNA", at positions 32 to 715 of the family's 1533-position model. Lineage: Bacteria; Pseudomonadati; Bacteroidota; Bacteroidia; Bacteroidales; Bacteroidaceae. The record is from RNAcentral.
AACGCUAGCUACAGGCUUAACACAUGCAAGUCGAGGGGUAACGGGGGCGCUUGCGCCCGCCGACGACCGGCGAAUGGGUGAGUAACGCGUAUCCAACCUGCCUCACGCCCGGGGAUAGCCCUUAGAAAUGAGGAUUAAAACCCGAUACGUCUCGCUUCCGCAUGGCGGCGCGAUGAAACGAGGCAAGAGAUGGGGAUGCGUAGGAUUAGGUUGUUGGCGGGGUAGAGGCCCACCAAGCCGUCGAUCCUUAGGGGUUCUGAGAGGAAGGUCCCCCACACUGGAACUGAGACACGGUCCAGACUCCUACGGGAGGCAGCAGUGAGGAAUAUUGGUCAAUGGGCGAGAGCCUGAACCAGCCAAGUAGCGUGAGGGAUGACUGCCCUAUGGGUUGUAAACCUCUUUUAUACGGGAAUAAAGUGCGGCACGUGUGCCGCUUUGCAUGUACCGUAAGAAUAAGCAUCGGCUAAUUCCGUGCCAGCAGCCGCGGUAAUACGGAAGAUGCGAGCGUUAUCCGGAUUUAUUGGGUUUAAAGGGAGCGUAGGCGGAAGAUUAAGUCAGCCGUGAAAUCCCGUCGCUUAACGACGGAACUGCGGUUGAUACUGGUUUUCUUGAGUGCACAUAAGGAAGGUGGAAUUUGUGGUGUAGCGGUGAAAUGCUUAGAUAUCACGAAGAACUCCGAUUG